AUGGCGGCCGCGGCGCGAGACCGGCGGCGAAGGGGCCGCGCUCCCGGGGCUGCCUCCGCGGAAGACGACGGGGAGGAGCACCACCUCAACCCCUUCCUCUCGGACGAGGCGCCCUCGUCCUCCAGAGUCCAGUUCAGGAACGUGGCGUCGCGGGCGCGGUGGGUGGAGGAGGCCGGCGCGGCGGAGGUGCUGGACAGCAAGGGGAAGCUCUGGCUGACCACCGGCGUCACACGCGGCGGCAAGCUCGACUACAAUGUCGAGGAGAUCGGGUUUUUGGCAGAAAGAGGGGCAUUGAUUUUUCUCGAUGAUGAGGAUGGGACAAUAGGAAUGGAAGAAAUCUAUGGAAAGAUUGCAGGAGGAAAAUAUGGGUGCUCGUGGGAUGCCUUCCAGGCUUACAAACACUUGAAGUUGCUUGGCUACAUUAUUGGACGAUAUGGUGUCCCCUGGACAAUGAAGCAUAACCCUACUUGUGAAACCACUGAUUCCCUGGAGAGUAUGCCUGACACUAACCAGAGCUUCGAUAGAGCCGACGGUGUCCGCAGCGGCAUCGCGAAAUUACUCAAAGAAAUGCACAUAGAUGGGUUGCAUCCAUCCUUUGAAGUGUAUCUACCAAAUAGCAAAUUUAGAAAGUCAUCCCCUGGAGCCCCUUGUUUCUUCCUAUCUAUGUUAAGAGACAAACCACCAUCAAGGGAUGAACUGGAAACCAUCGAAAGCAAGUGUGGCGGCAUUCCUCUUAAAUUUUGUCAAGUUGAUAAUGGACGUGUCAGCCUUCUCUCCUUCGACAAAGUUCUACUUCCUAGUUUGCCCUGA
This 810-nucleotide ribosomal RNA is filed under the name Triticum aestivum (bread wheat). Its description in RNAcentral is "partial small subunit ribosomal RNA". Lineage: Eukaryota; Viridiplantae; Streptophyta; Magnoliopsida; Poales; Poaceae. The record is from RNAcentral.